UGUAAAAUGGGGUAAUUAAUGGGAAGACGUUCACGUCACUCCGGCGUUCGGUGUCGCUAUGUAACGUUGUUUACAAUUGUAACAAGCGCGAUCGAAUCGUUCGCGAACGGCACGUGGCACGAAAACCGUCUCGCGUGAACACCGUACCGAAGCGUCUUGCCAACUGAAGUGCAAGCGAAUAGGUACAAAUAUUUAUGCACGCUCUGUUACACGCAUUCCUCGCACAGUUGUGCAGUAUCGAUCAAGUUGUCUGAAUCCUGCCACUGAAUCUUUACCGUCACUCUCAGUUGGAAACUUCCUCCAUGAUAAAUCUCGUUGGGAAAUCAUUCGCUCGAGAUGAUUCCCGUUACUUUAUUUCAAGGCAAAGACCCAUUAAGCCAAGAAUGUAUCUCGAGUGAAAGUUGAGUGUAUAUUUGUCUGUUUGCACUACGGAGAUGAACUGUCAGCACCAUCUUUUGAGAACACGGUGAACCACUUGCCAGAUGGCAUAGACUUAAAAUACGUAUUCUAAAUUGAAUGGACAGCGGGAUAUUUGAAUUAGGAGUAUGGAAUAUUUUGAACUUAUUUCGGAAAUAUUUUCAGGUUUCUAUAUUUUUAAUGACUUUCUACAGUGGAAUAUAGACGCGAGGAUCAACCCUUUGCGAAUGUCGACAUUUCGGCGAGAUGGAAUUUUCAUAUUUGGAAGACUAAGUCAGAAUCUUCAUCUGCAAAGGGUUAAUGAUAAUUUUUCGAAGAACAUGUAUGAAUGUAUAUUUGGUGGACCUGUUUCGUCGGAUUCAUCCUAGUGACUUUUCUCUUUGAGGACAACCUGUACAUGUUCGACAUAAUGUUGGCAAGAGAGUCGGGGAAUUUUCAAGGUUUCUUAACUCAUACGUUUCCCCAGACUCCAUUUAUGUAUCGCUUUUUUUUUAUCAAGAUUCAGAUAGCACAAUAGCAUAUUCAAUUUAAGAAACAUGUAAUAACGUUAUUCAACUGUUGAUUAAA
Molecule: long non-coding RNA, 984 nt
Organism: Nomia melanderi (Alkali bee)
Lineage: Eukaryota; Metazoa; Arthropoda; Insecta; Hymenoptera; Halictidae
Source: RefSeq, a predicted model, not a curated record